UACGGGGGGGGCAAGCGUUGUUCGGAAUUACUGGGCGUAAAGGGCUCGUAGGCGGCCAAGUAAGUCAGACGUGAAAUCCCUCAGCUUAACUGGGGAACUGCGUCUGAUACUGGAUGGCUUGGAUUCGGGAGAGGAAUGCGGAAUUCCAGGUGUAGCGGUGAAAUGCGUAGAUAUCUGGAGGAACACCGGUGGCGAAGGCGACAUUCUGGACCGAUAUUGACGCUGAGGAGCGAAAGCCAGGGGAGCAAACGGG
This 253-nucleotide ribosomal RNA is filed under the name uncultured bacterium. RNAcentral's name for it is "partial 16S ribosomal RNA". It matches the Rfam family "Bacterial small subunit ribosomal RNA", at positions 524 to 776 of the family's 1533-position model. The record is from RNAcentral.